CCUACGGGUGGCUGCAGUGGGGAAUAUUGCACAAUGGGCGCAAGCCUGAUGCAGCCAUGCCGCGUGUGUGAAGAAGGCCUUCGGGUUGUAAGGCACUUUCAGCGGGGAGGAAGGCGGUGAGGUUAAUAACCUCAUCGAUUGACGUUACCCGCAGAAGAAGCACCGGCUAACUCCGUGCCAGCAGCCGCGGUAAUACGGAGGGUGCAAGCGUUAAUCGGAAUUACUGGGCGUAAAGCGCACGCAGGCGGUCUGUCAAGUCGGAUGUGAAAUCCCCGGGCUCAACCUGGGAACUGCAUUCGAAACUGGCAGGCUAGAGUCUUGUAGAGGGGGGUAGAAUUCCAGGUGUAGCGGUGAAAUGCGUAGAGAUCUGGAGGAAUACCGGUGGCGAAGGCGGCCCCCUGGACAAAGACUGACGCUCAGGUGCGAAAGCGUGAGGAGCAAACAGGAUUAGAUACCCGAGUAGUC
RNAcentral lists this ribosomal RNA (465 nucleotides) under uncultured Klebsiella sp. Its description in RNAcentral is "bacterial SSU rRNA". It matches the Rfam family "Bacterial small subunit ribosomal RNA", at positions 338 to 795 of the family's 1533-position model. The record is from RNAcentral. Lineage: Bacteria; Pseudomonadati; Pseudomonadota; Gammaproteobacteria; Enterobacterales; Enterobacteriaceae.